This 91-nucleotide transfer RNA is filed under the name bacterium. RNAcentral's name for it is "tRNA-Ser". It matches the Rfam family "tRNA". Rfam says of the family: Transfer RNA (tRNA) molecules are approximately 80 nucleotides in length. Their secondary structure includes four short double-helical elements and three loops (D, anti-codon, and T loops). The record is from RNAcentral.
GGAGAGGUACCCAAGUGGUUGAAGGGGACGGUUUGCUAAAUCGUUAGUCGGGGAAACCCGAGCGAGGGUUCGAAUCCCUCCCUCUCCGCCA